This 291-nucleotide ribosomal RNA is filed under the name uncultured bacterium. RNAcentral's name for it is "partial 16S ribosomal RNA". The record is from RNAcentral.
GGACUACCCGGGUAUCUAAUCCUGUUUGCUCCCCACGCUUUCGCGUUUCAGUGUCAGUUACGGGCCAGAUAAUCGCCUUCGCCUCUGGUGUUCCUUUCAAUAUCUAAGCAUUUUACCGCUACACAGAAAAUUCCAUUAUCCCCUACCGCACUCUAGUUUGGCAGUAUUGCUUGCAUUAUCAGGUUGAGCCUGAUUCUUUAACAUUCAACUUACCAUACCACCUACACGCCCUUUAUGCCCAAUAAUUCCGAUUAAUGCUUGCACCCUCUGUAUUACCGCGGCUGCUGGCAC